AUACGGAGGGUGCAAGCGUUAAUCGGAAUUACUGGGCGUAAAGAGUACGUAGGGGGUUUAUUAAGUCAGAUGUGAAAGCCCCGGGCUUAACCUGGGAACUGCAUUUGAUACUGGCAAACUAGAGUAUGGUAGAGGCGGGUAGAAUUCCUAGUGUAGCGGUGAAAUGCGUAGAUAUUAGGAGGAAUACCAGUGGCGAAGGCGGCCCGCUGGACCAAUACUGACACUGAGGUACGAAAGCGUGGGUAGCGAACAGGAUUAGAAACCCCAGUAGUCC
RNAcentral lists this ribosomal RNA (274 nucleotides) under uncultured bacterium. RNAcentral describes it as "partial 16S ribosomal RNA". It matches the Rfam family "Bacterial small subunit ribosomal RNA", at positions 523 to 796 of the family's 1533-position model. The record is from RNAcentral.